GAUGCUCAUCACAAGGGUCAUUCUUGUUCACAAACUUGAGAAGCUUAAUCUCAUCCAAACUCUGAUCAAAGAAGUCCUUGUCAUUCUUUAUUAUCUUCAAGCAAACGUCUACUCCAGUGUGCAUAUCAUGAGCCUGAAUGACUUUGCUGAAUGCAGCUGAACCAAGGUAUUCUGUUACAUAGUAUCUACCGGCGAUAAUACUAUUUAGAACAAUAGGCAGGUCUUUGCUCUCCUCAAACCCAGUCCUGUUUUUCCUGUGUAUAAUCCUCAGAUUAAAUACUUCAAAC
Molecule: unclassified non-coding RNA, 287 nt
Filed under: Hevea brasiliensis (rubber tree)
Lineage: Eukaryota; Viridiplantae; Streptophyta; Magnoliopsida; Malpighiales; Euphorbiaceae
Source: RNAcentral